AAAAGGUAAUUUUUAUUCGGGUAUUAUUUUUUUCGGGGUGUUUUAUUUUUUGUGGGAGUUGGGUAUAAUGGGGAGUUGGACCGGUUGGAGAGGCCCAACCCAUUUCCCUCUCUACUCUCCCGUUUUCCCCUCCCCCCCGAGUCUUCUUCCCUGCAGGAUCGUCCAGCCAACAUCUGCCGCCGUCCGGCCAGCCACCGGCCGCCGCUCCACCCCAGUUCGGACCCCCAUCUCCUCCUCUCCCUCCCCGGCCUAGCCCCCGAGCCGUUAGCCCGCCGGAAGAAGAGAAAACUCGCCGGAGACGCCGGGAAGCUUUUCGCCGGAACUCCCUCCUCCGGCCACCAAUCCGGGCAAGCUUGAUACGGUUUUGUAGCUCUCCAACCUAGCAGCCUUGCCCUAAAAGGACUCACCCUCUCUUGAGCUAGGUAAGGAGAAAUGUGGAGUUGAAAUUUCUAGGACUUUUAGGAUGUUUUUAGUCGAUUACCCUAGUUCGGCUUGAAAUUGGUGUUUGUGCUAGUUAAGAGAGUUGUAGAGCAUGGUGAGAGGAUUAUUCUGUCAAAAUUUCAUAGGAAUCGGACGUCGCCGGAAUUGGCCUCCGGCCGCCGCUGCCGGCGGAGCCGCGGUUUGGGAGAUUUUUAGGGUUUUAAAUGUGGAAUAUUAAGGGGAUUAUAUUGAUGUGAUUUAUGGAAUUUUUGGAUGAGAUUUGGAUAGGUUUGUGAAUUUCCGAAGUUGGUAUUUUUUGGCGGUUAAUUAAUGUAGAAUCCGGCAGUAGGAUUUAAGUCGUAUUUUUAGGAGGUUGUAUUUACGACUGUCGAGGAUGAUAUUUAAGUUCGGAUCGUUUCGAUUUAAGAAUAUCGAAGUUAGGCAAUGAUGAGCGUAUUUAUGGCUCUCGGGUAAUUUUGCCUAUUUUGAUUAAUUAUUAGAUUGUUAGUUGGGAAAUUAAUAUUAUUUUUGGAUUAGGACGUGAGGAGGCUCGAGAAGACGAGACCCCAGAUCGACGUCAGGCUUAGGCCUAAUUUGUGAGUGGACUUUUGUUUUAAAUAAAAUGCAUGUUAGAGUUCAUGGUUGAACAAUAAUUGUUGCGGAAUAUUUUGACGUCAUUUUAAUUUGACGAAUUUUAUUUCUCUUGGAGAGUUACCGAAAAUGGGAUUUUCGGUGGAUAUAAAUAUGUAUUUAUGAGAGAGUAUGUAUAUAAAAUGCUAGCUAGCCAGCCAUAUGUGUCUGUCCACCUUAAUGGCGUAACAUAUAGCCGCAUUAUGGUGUGACGUGAGCGUUGGACGUGAGCGUAGUAGCCCUAUUUGAGUGUUUAAUUCAUAUAGGUGGUAUGGACACAUAUUUAUACACCCGUCUGUCCACCUUAAUGGCGUAGUGUAGCACCGCAUUAAGGCGUGACGUGAGCGUUUGACGCGAGCGUAGUAGCCCUAUAUAGACCCAUGAAUUUAUAUAGGGAGUAUGGACGAGUGUAGAUACAUACAUAUAGUAUAGAGUCUGAGAGGCUCGAUAUUUUAUGAGAUAAAAGUUUUAUUGCUUGCGGCAUGCAUUCGAUUUUUCCUUAGAAAUUACUUUGGGGAAACAUAAAUAUUUUAUUUAUUAUUUUAUUUUUGUCCACUCACUCUAACGUUAUUAAAUGUUUUCCCCUGGCCCCUUCGUUUUAAAUUUCCCAGUCUGCAGAGUUCGGGUUGGAUCUAGUAGGAGGCGAGGCAUAGUCACCCGCAUUUCUGCCAGUUUUCAUCAGUAGGUUACCUGUUCAACCUACUUGUGUUUUCUUGCUUCCGCUAGAGUCUAGUAGCUCUGGAUACUUUGGGAUUGUUGUAUAUUAUUUCGGUAGUGUGCUCGGCCUGUUGGUAUUAUGUUUAGAAUUUCUGAAGGUUAAUUAUGUGAUGUUUGGACGUAUCGUUUUAAGAGUGUAAUUUGGAAUUUUCGAGUUAGGGUUGUCCAUUUUCAAGGGAGAUUUUAUCAAUCUUUUCAAUAAAUUUUCCUUGGAGGUGGUUCCCGCACGACUUACUCCGGGUUUCAGGGUGAAAUUCGGGGUGGGUCGUGUCAAUUUCUAUGAAAAAUUAAAUUGGGAAUGCAUAAAUAUUUUUAUUGAAUUCAUUUUUGUCCACUCAGUCUAACGGUUUCAAAUGUUUUCCCCAGGGCCCUUCCUUUUAAAAAUGCCUAGUAUGCAGCUUAGCAUAGUUGAGGUCGGGUGUACAUGGAGACGAGGCAUAAUCAAUAGUAUAGCUUCCGCUCAUAUUUCUAUUUCUAGUUCCUAUCUCCUCUAAUAGAGUUGCUCUGAACCUGUGAUUGUUGGUUAUGGGAUUUUUGCUAGAUUAGUAAAUAUAAAUUGGGAGAUGUUGUGAUUUGUGGGGAGCACGAAGGCUCCAAGAGUUUAUUAGGUUGGAGUUGGAACUGUUAGAAGUGUUUGCAGGUGUUUUAGUUAGGAAGGGUUGUCCAUUUUCAAGAGAGGUUAUGCCAAUUUUUCGGUAAAUUUUCCUUGGAGGUGGUCCCCACAGGUUUACUUUGGGUUUCAGGGUGAAAUUCGGGGUGGGUCUUAACACAGAGAAAGAGAGAGAGAGAGAGAGAGAGAGAGAGAGAGAGAGAGAGAGCGCGG
This 2590-nucleotide long non-coding RNA is filed under the name Fragaria vesca (wild strawberry). RNAcentral describes it as "long non-coding RNA (FVES_LNC005484)". The record is from RNAcentral. Lineage: Eukaryota; Viridiplantae; Streptophyta; Magnoliopsida; Rosales; Rosaceae.